GCACACCACAAUGCCCAGGGGUGUGGGGCGGCCAAUUACUCACUCAAACUGGAGUUCUGCUUAGAAUGGGACAGCAAGGCCAGGGGCCAGGAAGGCCUCUGUGAUAUCUUCCUCUUUCCCUGCCCAUGGCCUUCUUCCUUUCUCUUGUAUUUCUCUCCCUGUAGCAAGACAUGGUGCUCUGCCAAGGCCGUGCCCUUGGGAACUUCUCCCUCAAUGCUGCCAUUGAGGACCACGUUGAGGUGAGCCAGUCCCUGUGCAGGUAGCAGAACUUCCUAAGUCCCAACAAGACCUUGGAAGACACUGCUGAACAACAAGAAAAGAACAAAAAUAUUUUAAAAAUUGAAUAAACCAAAUUUACUUUGUC
Non-coding RNA from Rattus norvegicus (Norway rat), 364 nucleotides. The record is from RefSeq and is a predicted model, not a curated record. Lineage: Eukaryota; Metazoa; Chordata; Mammalia; Rodentia; Muridae.